UGUAACCUUUAAAAAGGUGGUGCAGUAUUCUAGUCGGGUAAGUAUCUUUUGAAGGCGGGGCUAAAAAUCCGUCAAAGGGCAUAUCGAUGAAGUUCCUUGUGCUGGCUUAUGACGCCCAGUCAUGGGUUGGUGCUGGGAGUAAGGAGGAUGGGGCAGCCGCAACGGCAUGCGGGAACUGACCCUACCUUCGCGGAGACCAUUUAUUGUAUAAAAGGUUAGAUACCUUUUAUACGAAAAUGGAUUAAACCUGCAAUGUGGUGAAGAGCUAUGUGCAGUGUAGCCUGCCUUGAGUGGUUUAGGGGGAAAGCAGUAACACCAUUUAAUUUUGGCCAAAAUUAAAGGAAUCUGUUUGCUGAAACCUAAGCUGCAAAAGAGGCUAGGGAGAUACCUAACUGUUGGGGAAAACUCCUAGACUGUUCUACUUGAAAUAUGCUGAGGAUUGCAGUGCGGACUAAGUGGCAAUCCAGUCCUGCUUUUGGCAACAAAGCAGAUAGGGAAUUAAAGGGAAACCGCCAAAAUGGCGACAUUUAGGUUGACCUAUGGGAAAUCCUACUGGACCUAAGCCGCAAGGUUUACUCAGUUUAUUACCACCUUUUUAUAUACAUAU
Molecule: small RNA, 607 nt
Filed under: Clostridium sp. HMP27
Lineage: Bacteria; Bacillati; Bacillota; Clostridia; Eubacteriales; Clostridiaceae
Source: RNAcentral